UCAAUGGCUAUUGGAUUGGUCCAUGAAGCGAAAAAUAGUUUACUGUGUCACUCGUACCGAUAACCGCAUCAGGUCUUCUAGGUAAGUAGCCUAUGGCCAUUGAGGCAUGAUAGUUCAGGGAAUUCGGCCAAUUAGAGCUGUAACUUCGGGAUAAAGCUUGGCUCUGAUGAAAAUCAGAACCGAUUGUUACGCGGAGAGCCCAACUGUUUAAUAAAAACGUAGUGUCGCGCUGUGGUAGUAUAGCCAGUGAACGCGACAUGAAUCCUGCUCAGUGCUGUGUCUGUUAAUAUGGUUCAAGCCAACGAAGCACCGGUAAAUAGCUGGGGUAACUAUGACUCUUAUCAAAGUAGCGAAAUACCUCGUCACUUAAUUAGUGACCUGCAUGAACGGAGCUAUGAGGUUCUCACUGUCCCAAACUGUCUCUCAGCGAACCAACUGUAGUGGGAACGGUCACUAGAUAUCCAGCGGGGAAAGAAGACCCUGUAGAGCUUCACUUUGGUCUAGUCUUGUAUAGUUCCUGCGGGGGUGUAGACUAGGUGGGAGAGCAAUCGAUUCUGAAAAACCACUACCCUGUUUGGAAUUAUGCUUACCUAUCACAAGGAAUAGGACUAGAUAGAAAGUUUGGCUGGGGCGGCACACCUUCGAAAGAGCAGCGAAGGUGUCCUAAGUUGAGCUCAGUGAGGACAGAAAUCUCACGUUGAGGAUAAGGCCAAAAGCUCAAUUUACUGUGCCUUUUUGUACUAGGAUCAGUUACGAAAGUAAGGCCUAACGAUCCCUAAAUAGCCUCAGGUGCGUGAGGAUAGGGGUGACAGACAAGUUACCUCCGGGACAACUGGCUUGUGGCUGCUAAGAGAUCAA
This 858-nucleotide non-coding RNA is filed under the name Trichomonas vaginalis G3. RNAcentral's name for it is "Eukaryotic large subunit ribosomal RNA". It matches the Rfam family "Eukaryotic large subunit ribosomal RNA", at positions 1783 to 2855 of the family's 3401-position model. The record is from Rfam by way of RNAcentral. Lineage: Eukaryota; Parabasalia; Trichomonadida; Trichomonadidae.